RNAcentral lists this ribosomal RNA (229 nucleotides) under uncultured bacterium. Its description in RNAcentral is "partial 16S ribosomal RNA". It matches the Rfam family "Bacterial small subunit ribosomal RNA", at positions 568 to 796 of the family's 1533-position model. The record is from RNAcentral.
UGCGUAGGCGGACUAAUAAGUCAGUGGUGAAAUCUCUCGGCUCAACCGGGAAACUGCCAUUGAUACUGUUAGUCUUGAGUUCGGUUGAGGUAGGCGGAAUGUGUAAUGUAGCGGUGAAAUGCAUAGAUAUUACACAGAACACCAAUUGCGUAGGCAGCUUACUAGACCGACACUGACGCUGAGGCACGAAAGCGUGGGUAGCGAACAGGAUUAGAUACCCUGGUAGUCC